Molecule: ribosomal RNA, 440 nt
Filed under: uncultured bacterium
Lineage: Bacteria
Description: partial 16S ribosomal RNA
Rfam family: Bacterial small subunit ribosomal RNA
Source: RNAcentral
CCUACGGGUGGCAGCAGUGGGGAAUAUUGCACAAUGGGGGAAACCCUGAUGCAGCGACGCCGCGUGAGUGAAGAAGUAUUUCGGUAUGUAAAGCUCUAUCAGCAGGGAAGAAAAUGACGGUACCUGACUAAGAAGCCCCGGCUAACUACGUGCCAGCAGCCGCGGUAAUACGUAGGGUGCAAGCGUUGUCCGGAAUCAUUGGGCGGAAAGAGUUCGUAGGCGGCAUGUAAAGUCAGGUGGUAACGGCGCAGGCUCAACCUGUGUAUGGCACUUGAUACUUGCAAGCUGGAAUGCGGGAGAGGUAAAGGGAAUUCCUGGUGUAGGGGUGAAAUGCUUAGAUAGCAGGAGGAACAUCAGUGGCGUAAGCGCUUUACUGGGCCGUAAUUGACGCUGAGGAACGAAAGCCAGGGUAGCAAAUGGGAUUAGAUACCCGGGUAGUC